Non-coding RNA from Pelobates cultripes (western spadefoot toad), 801 nucleotides. The record is from the annotation of a GenBank genome assembly. NCBI's taxonomy places the organism in Eukaryota, Metazoa, Chordata, Amphibia, Anura, Pelobatidae.
GAAUACUAUAGCUCCCUGCAGCCUUUCUCAUGUAAACACUGUAUUUUCUAGGAAAAUACAGUGUUUACAUUGGAAGCUAGGAAAACCUCCAGUUGCAGUCUCUCAGACUGCCACCAAAGGGACAUCCGAGUUGAUGAAUGCAUAAUUCGCAUUCAUUUUCACACUUGACGUCUUCACGCUUGGGUGAAGACAUCAAACGUGCUAUCAGCAGACAGGAGAUAGUAGGCACUGUGAACGCGCCUCCUGUGUCCUGUAUUAACCCCGAAGCCUGUCAGCAAUGAGAGCAGACAGUUUGGGAGAUAAGAUCUCCUGCAAACAGCGUCGGCUUGAGCUGCCAGGCUGAGGACCAGAGACCGAGCAGGAGGGGAGUAAACUUAUUUUGUGACUGAGUGUGGGUGAGUGAUUGAGUGUAGGUGGGUGAGUGAUUGAGUGUGGGUGGGUGACUGAGUGACUAAUUGUGGGUGAGUGACUGAAUGAGUCUGAGCAGGAGGGGAGUAAACUUAUUUUGUGACUGAGUGAGUGUGGGUGACUGAGUGUGGGUGGUGGGUGAGUGACUGAGUGAGUUUGGGUGACUAAGUGAGUGGGUGGUGAGUGAGUGAAUGAGUGUGGGUGACUGAGUGAGUGUAGGUGAGUGAUUGUGAGUGCGGGUGGGUGACUGAUUGAGUGUGGGUGGGUGACUGAGUGUGAGUGAGUGAAUGUGGGUGAGUGAUUGUGAGUGUGGGUGGGUGAUUGUAAGUGUGGGUGGGUGAGUGAUUGUGACUGAGUGUGGGUGAAUGAUUGUGAGUGUGGGUGGGUGAGUGA